Molecule: small RNA, 19 nt
Filed under: Bombyx mori (domestic silkworm)
Lineage: Eukaryota; Metazoa; Arthropoda; Insecta; Lepidoptera; Bombycidae
Description: ovarian small RNA-14962
Source: RNAcentral
CUGUAGGUACCCCGCGGAA